RNAcentral lists this non-coding RNA (30 nucleotides) under Mus musculus (house mouse). Lineage: Eukaryota; Metazoa; Chordata; Mammalia; Rodentia; Muridae. The record is from RNAcentral.
UGAUAGUGGACAAACACAGAAGGAUAUUGC